AUCAAUAAGCGGAGGAAAAGAAAAUAACAAUGAUUCCCCCAGUAACGGCGAGUGAACAGGGAAAAGCUCAAAGUUGGAACCUCCUGGCCCUAGGUUAGGCGGAUUGUAAACUAAAGCUCUUGGGUAGUACGGUUGGCCUGAUAAAAAAGUUCUCUGGAAAGAGGCGACAUAGAGGGUGAUAUCCCCGUCUUUGGUCAGAGCUCAAUCAUGCGUUUGCCCUUUAGCGAAGAGUCAGGUUGUUUGGGAAUGCAGCCUAAAAUGGGAGGUAAAUCUCUCCUAAAGCUAAAUAUUGACGAAAGACCGAUAGCGAACAAGUACCGUGAGGGAAAGAUGAAAAGCACUUUGAAAAGAGGGUCAAAAAGUACGUGAAAUUGCUGAAAGGGAACCGUAUGAAAUCAGUCUGAUGUGUUGGUAAUCAAUCUGGAUCUCGAUCUGGAUGCACUUGCCAAUGUAUUAGCCUGCGACAAUUUGAUCUGGAGGAAAAAAGAUGGGAGAAUGUGGCCUUGUCUUCGGGGAAGGUGUUAUAGCUCCUGUCAAAAUACUUUGGAUUGGAUUGAGGAUCGCAGCGAGCCGCAAGGUAAGGGUCUUACGCGCUUGAUCUGAUUAAAAAAAGAAUCUCUGCUUCGGGUGGUGCUUUUUUUAAUUGGGCCAACACGUGUAUUUCUCCUUUUUCUCGCUUAGGUCGUAGGCAUAAUGAUUUAUAUGA
This 706-nucleotide ribosomal RNA is filed under the name Absidia macrospora. Its description in RNAcentral is "eukaryotic LSU rRNA". It matches the Rfam family "Eukaryotic large subunit ribosomal RNA", at positions 42 to 647 of the family's 3401-position model. Lineage: Eukaryota; Fungi; Mucoromycota; Mucoromycetes; Mucorales; Cunninghamellaceae. The record is from RNAcentral.